GUAUUGGCCUACCGUGGCAAUGACGGGUAACGGGGAAUUAGGGUUCGAUUCCGGAGAGGGAGCCUGAGAAACGGCUACCACAUCUAAGGAAGGCAGCAGGCGCGCAAAUUACCCAAUCCUAAUACAGGGAGGUAGUGACAAGAAAUAACAAUACAGGACUUUUUGGUUUUGUAAUUGGAAUGAGUUAAGUAUAAACCCCUUUACAAGUAUCAAUUGGAGGGCAAGUCUGGUGCCAGCAGCCGCGGUAAUUCCAGCUCCAAUAGCGUAUAUUAAAGUUGUUGCAGUUAAAAAGCUCGUAGUUGGAUUUCUGUUAAUAAUUUAUAUAAAAUACUUAGGUGUUUAUAUAAUAUUAACAUAAUUCAUAUUACUAUAUUUUUUUAGUAUAUGAAAUUUUACUUUGAGAAAAUUAGAGUGCUUAAAGCAGGCGUUAGCCUUGAAUACUCCAGCAUGGAAUAAUAUUAAAGAUUUUUAUCUUUCCUAUUGGUUCUAAGAUAAGAAUAAUGAUUAAUAGGGACAGUUGGGGGCAUUUGUAUUUAA
RNAcentral lists this ribosomal RNA (537 nucleotides) under Cryptosporidium fayeri. RNAcentral describes it as "SSU rRNA". It matches the Rfam family "Eukaryotic small subunit ribosomal RNA", at positions 333 to 901 of the family's 1831-position model. The record is from RNAcentral. Lineage: Eukaryota; Apicomplexa; Conoidasida; Eucoccidiorida; Cryptosporidiidae.